RNAcentral lists this ribosomal RNA (497 nucleotides) under uncultured bacterium. RNAcentral's name for it is "partial 16S ribosomal RNA". It matches the Rfam family "Bacterial small subunit ribosomal RNA", at positions 28 to 507 of the family's 1533-position model. The record is from RNAcentral.
GAUGAACGCUGGCGGCGUGCCUAAUACAUGCAAGUCGAGCGAACGGACGAGAAGCUUGCUUCUCUGAUGUUAGCGGCGGACGGGUGAGUAACACGUGGAUACCCUACCUAUAAGACUGGGAUAACUUCGGGAAACCGGAUCUAAUACCGGAUGAUAUUUUGAACCGCAUGGUUCAAAAGUGAAAGACGGUCUUGCUGUCACUUAUAGAUGGAUCCGCGCUGCAUUAGCUAGUUGGUAAGGUAACGGCUUACCAAGGCAACGAUGCAUAGCCGACCUGAGAGGGUGAUCGGCCACACGGGAACUGGGACACGGUCCAGACUCCUACGGGAGGCAGCAGUAGGGAAUCUUCCGCAAUGGGCGAAAGCCUGACGGAGCAACGCCGCGUGAGUGAUGAAGGUCUUCGGAUCGUAAAACUCUGUUAUUAGGGAAGAACAUAUGUGUAAGUAACUGUGCACAUCUUGACGGUACCUAAUCAGAAAGCCACGGCUAACUACGUG